AGAACGAACGCUGGCGGCAUGCCUAAUACAUGCAAGUCGAACGAACUCUUCGGAGUUAGUGGCGCACGGGUGCGUAACGCGUGGGAAUCUGCCCCUUGGUUCGGAAUAACAGUUGGAAACGACUGCUAAAUACCGGAUGAUGACGAAAGUCCAAAGAUUUAUCGCCAAGGGAUGAGCCCGCGUAGGAUUAGCUAGUUGGUGAGGUAAAGGCUCACCAAGGCAACGAUCCUUAGCUGGUCUGAGAGGAUGAUCAGCACACUGGACUGAGACACGGCCAGACUCCUACGGGAGGCAGCAGGUGGGGAAUUUUGGAACGAACGUAGGGACGAAACGG
This 334-nucleotide ribosomal RNA is filed under the name uncultured soil bacterium. RNAcentral's name for it is "bacterial SSU rRNA". It matches the Rfam family "Bacterial small subunit ribosomal RNA", at positions 26 to 391 of the family's 1533-position model. The record is from RNAcentral.